GGAGAGGUGCCCGGAGCGGCCGAUCGGGGACCGGAACCUGGUCGGGUCUUAUGGCCUUCGCAGGUUCGAACCCUGCCCUCUCCG
Molecule: transfer RNA, 84 nt
Filed under: Streptomyces buecherae
Lineage: Bacteria; Bacillati; Actinomycetota; Actinomycetes; Kitasatosporales; Streptomycetaceae
Description: tRNA-Val
Source: RNAcentral